CUCUGCUCUUUUGUUCACCUGAAAUCCUCUCUUACACCUUAGUCACGUGAUUAGACCCAUCCUUCUUGUCGGAACUGUCAAACUGGUUAUGCCAUAAACAUAACCAACCACACAACCAGAUAAAGGGAGGUGGGGAGUGGUAGGCGGUGGUGCUGGAGAGUUGGACAAGACAUCCUCUUCAUUCUUUACACAGAUUUUGAGGUUUGAGGUCUUUUUUGUGUUCUUUAACAGUGCUUUCAAUUUGGAUUACGAAGCAUCUUUUGAACUAAGAAAACUAGAGGCAACCCAGGAAGAGGAAUACAAGACCAGGAAUGACAGUAAGCCUCAGAUAUACUGUAGAGAAAAGGAAGAGGAACAAAAUGAUGUACAAAGCAGUUCAUAGAUUUGCUUCAGGCUUCAUGCUGUAGGCUAUGGGAAGACUAUGAUAACCAACGAGUCAUUGAAACUCACUCAUACGACCACACGUUAUCAUUGACUCAGUGAAUAAGGUAAACCGUUUAAUAGUCACUGUGCUCUCUGCCACACAAAAUUAAUAUUGUAAAGACGUAGGUGAUAUAUAGAUAUACAUACAGUAUAUACACAUAUAAAGUCCAGCAGACACACAUACAUUUACACACGGACAAAUACAUAGACUGAAAGAACAUAAAGAACCAACACCCACACAAACUCCCAGAGGCAGCCAUGAGGGUUGUAUUGGUGCUAGGAGGCCUAACUAUCCUGGUCUCUAUGGGCCUGGCGCUGAUCGUCUUUGGCCAGCACCUGACAGAAGCCAAGCUGACCCUGCAGAACCUGCAUCUGGAUCAGAUGCAGCGGACGCGCGUCAACCAACUCAAGGAGAGGCAGUGGCUGGAAAACCUGCUGAAGGGGCAGCUAGACUGGAAGAAGAAGAAUGUGGAGGAGAUGGAGGCAGAGGUGAACAAACUGACCGAAGAGGAGGGGAAGAAGAAGACUGAGGUCGAGGCCUGCCAGGCAGACAAGAAACAAAAGGAGGAAGAACUUGCACCCAUACAGAAGGAGCAGAGUGAUAUUGAAGCGACGUUCAAAACUGAAAAGGAGGCUUGGACUGGGGAGAUCACCACUCUCAAACUGCAGUUGGAGCAGAGUAGCAAAGUGUGUGGUUUUGUAAAGGACUCAACAGAUACAGCGAAAUUAUGUCCACCCAAAGAAGGAGCAGCAAAACCUGAAGCGGCCCCUGUACAAGCUGAAGCGGCCCCUGUAAAAGCUGAAGCGGCCCCUGUACAAGCUGAAGCGGCCCCUGUAAAAGCUGAAGCGGCCCCUGUACAAGCUGAAGCGGCCCCUGUAAAAGCUGAAGCGGCCCCUGUAAAAGCUGAAGCAGCCCCUGUAAAAGCUGAAGCAGCCCCUGUAAAAGCUGAAGAGGCCGCUGUACAAGGUGAACCUGCAUCUGUAAAAGCUGAAGCAGCCCCUGUAAAAGCCGAAGAGGUCCCUGCACAAGCUGAAGCGGCCCCUGCUCCAAAGCAGUAAACGUCUCCAAAGAUACGGUGACAUUAUGCAUCACAAUAGUAAUUAUAUUACUAUUCAUUCGUGAUGCUCACUCAUAUUUAUGUUGUUUGUUUGUGGGUAAUCUUGUGGGUAAUCUUGUGGGUAAUCUUGGCAACCCAAUGUAAAUUACACCAUUUAUGUUAUAUAGUCUGUCCACAAGAGAUUAGGCUGUGGGCAUUGUCAAUGUGUCAGUUUGGCACACUAUGUCAAUGUGCCUAAAGUAAUUAGGUGCUGUUCGUUUUCAAAAACGUUUAAUAUCUUAUCAGUUUUUAAAUAAACGUUUUUUGUUUUUAAUUUCCAUUUUUAUAAAGCCUUUUAGUUAGGCACAGAAAACACGGAAAGAGAAAACACUGCUUUUCCCUGUUGGUGGUUCAUGUGAUGAAGAGGGUGGAACUCCUAUCAAACCUGCACAGUUCAAUACCAAUAUAACUUAGACCAUUAAAGUUUUAAUGUAGCUUACCUUAUCAUCAUCAUCAUUGACUGCCAGGGUAAAACAUAAUAUUGUAAAGCUGUUGGGUGUAAUCUGCCAGGUUAAAAUGGAGCCAGCUGGUGGAUGAGUAAUAUGUAAACAUAGGGUGACAGUGAGCAGCGAGCAAAAUGACCAUAGACGAGAUGUUGACAAUGGCUUAUUAAUAGGCAUAAAUACAUAGUAUUUCUAUGAUUGCAGUCCUCAAAGAUUGAAUUGCAAUGAAUCAAAUGAAUCAGAUUCAAUGGUUUACCGCCCAUAGGGCGGGUGCAGUUUUUUUGUGCUUUGGAAUGUUCGGUAUUCCUGGGAUACCAUGCUGUCACCAUGUAAAUUAUAUAAAAACAUUUAUAAAACGGGUUGUUUGGAUCCUGGAUGCUGACUGGUUGAUAGAAGGGAGUUAUAGCACAACAAUCCCCGCAUUCACCGGGUAAUGCCUGUUAACAGUUCCAUUUGAUUUAUCAAUGCGCAUCCACUAUCCACUAGCCUGGCUGACGUGACUCACGGUACCACACAGCACGGUACCACACAGCAGACUCACUGGUCUGGAAAGGAGGCCGUUUAUUACAGUUUUUCUCCAUUGGUUUGGCUCAUUUCUUGAAACAGAAAUUACAUUCUCAAAACUCUAAGAUCAUUUGGCAAAACAGUCUUACAGUUCAGCACAACACUAUAGCUCACUUGCAAAAGCUCAUAUCUCUCCUAAAACUGUUCACUCAUGCUUCAAAACUAAAUUCCUUUCCCAUAUAAAGAGUCAGUGCCACGAAAAUGGCAAAGAUCCUUCUCAAUUGCUUUGGCUAAUUUCUUGAAACAGACCGGACGUUUUCAACACUCUUGGUGCUUUAACCAAAACUAAAUUUCCUUCUCAUUUAAACAGUCAGUGCCCCCAAAAUGCUUCGUCCCUUUGGCAUUGUGUAAGCACUGCAAGUCAAAAUGUUUAGAUGUUUUGUCACUAUGGCAGAGGACCAUUGAAAUAUCCCUCAUGUCCACCUUUCAGUCUUAGCCCAGUCCUUCAUUGACAAUGGUUACUGUACUGUUUUUUGUCCAGCUAACAGAAUACAAUUGUGUAUAAAACUGAAAAAAAGAAAUAGGAUUUUAGGGUAAGAGUAGCCUCCAAGGUUUGACAUCACACAUUGCACUCAUACUGCCAAGGAAAUUGUAACCAUUAUCAUUCACACACAUAAAGUAACUUCCAUACAUCAGAGUAAAAAGAAAAUGUAUACAGCAUAAUAUACUGUAAUAUAAACACACAAACAAAAAACAAUGAAAAUUAUAUGCAGCCUACAGUGCUGUAAAUAAAGCUGGAGUUUCACAACUAACAGUUCUUCACUGGUCGCUGUCCUCACCCUCCUGGCCAUCCACACGCUGCUGUCUGUCUGGCCACAGAUUCUCGUCCACAUCACAGCGUAUAUGCUCCCUUGCGAUGCAACGAGGGAAGAAACGGCGUGCAUGUCGCAACCAUCCCCUACACUGAUCUCCUGUAAUAUCCUCACACGCAGCGUCCAUUGCAUGGAGCAGGGACCUCUGAUCUUGAGCCCGAUGCUCAUACACUCUCCACCUCCAAGCAGAGAAAUACUCCUCAAUAGGAUUGAGGAAAGGAGAGUAAGGUGGUAGGAACACCAUGACCAUCCUUGGAUGAGUAGUGAACCAGGCCCUGAUGAGCGGGCCACGGUGGAAAUUCACAUUGUCCCAUACAAUGACAUAUUGUGGUAGGUGAGGCCUUACGAGACCUCUCUCAUUUUCAGGGAUCAAAUCAAAAUGAAGGCGGUCCAAGAAGAUGAGGAGCUUCUGUGUAUUGUAUGGGCCAAGACUGGUGAUGUGAGUGGCCACACCAUUCUCAGAUAUGGCAGCACACAUAGUUAUAUUGCCCCCUCGCUGGCCUGGGACAUCCACCGUGGCCCGGUGGCCAAUAAUAUUACGGCCACGUCUUCGGCCCUUGGCCAGGUUGAAGCCAGCUUCAUCCACAAACACGAGGAUGUGAUGGGUCUCGUGCUCCUCGGCCUCUUCCCCCUAUUCCACCACCACGCACCCUUACUCCUCCUCCUCCUCUUCUUCUUCUUCCUCUUCCUCUUCCUCGAGCAGGCAGUUGCCCUUGUUCAUUUACUUGGCCAGGUGCCUCCAUGUUCAGAAAUUGUACUGGUCCUGCAUGGUCAAGCUCUUUACAUACAUGUUUGGCAGCAUUCACAGUCAUGGACAGCACCUGUCAGGUAACUAAUCAUACUGUUUGAUUGGUCAUCUGAGAUGUGUGAAACUCCUCCUUCGUUAGUCAAGUUCUAGUUUCACCUGACUGUCAAUUGCUGUAAUAAAUGUAUCAAAUGUUCCAAGGGAUUCAUAUAUGGUAUUCAUGGUAUUAUGUUCUUGACUAAUUUUGACAAUUGAACAGACUAUUGUGCAUGUGAUGACUUAUACAAUGAAAUGACGCUGACACGUUUUGGAGAGAACAACCAUUAGACUGAGAAUCAGCAAUCAGUUUAGAUCGAUAAGAUCUAUUCACUUGGAAAUUGUGCUAAAUGUAGGCUACAUGUACUUAAUCAUUUGCAAAGAUGUACUGAGACAUUGAGACAUGUACUUAGACAUUUGCAAUUUGAUGAAAUGAAUGAGAAAUUCAAUUCUGUUGUGAACAAUUGCCAAGUGGUUUGGAGGUUUGUCCAUGUAGUUUUGAGAAUGUAAUUUCUGUUUCAAGAAAUGAGCCAAACCAAUGGAGAAAAACUGUAAUGCAAUAUUCACUCAGAAAUUGAGCAGACGGAUUGAUUGGUUGAGACCUCUCAUUGUUUGGAUUUGAAAAUCCAACAUUUGUAAUGGAAGGGGGCGGUGCUCAGGGGCUUUGUGUGGCUGUGCCUGUAGGUGUUUGAGUGAGACAACAUCAAAACAGCCUUUCCAGACUCUAAAGUCAGGAGGACUUCGAGUUUGGUAUCAGCCAGACUACUGUCCCACAACCCAGCCAGUCAAUUUAUAUUAUAGCCUUAACUUCAUCUCCCCUGUUAAAAAGUAUCUAAACCAUUUUCCCCCAUGCUAUUAGGUUAGCAUUUCGUUUACAACAGUUAGGGUUUGUCUAAACCUUGCUGUCUGCUUCUCUGACCUGUGGAAGUUUUUUUGCGAUCUCCUCCGUACCAUGCAUAUGAACGUGACGUGACUGACAGUUUCUCUGAGCCAGGCAAAUUAAUUUAUCAGGAUCAUUAUAAUGGAUAUAUCCAAAGAAAUGGCAAAAGAAACAAACAAAUGUAAAACAAAGGAAAGUACACAUAGUUGCUGUCAUUUCAGCUGCUUUCUUUAGUUUGCUAGAGGAAAGGAGAAGUACAGUAGCUAGCCUGGAGCUACAUGGCAAUGAUUUGUUUAGCAUAGCAAUCAUUGCAAAAAUAAUGGAUAGAAUGAACGACCAGCCUAUUUGGCUAGCAACUUAAGACCUCAUAAUUAUUUAAAAAAUGUUUGCAUUUUAUCGCACCUACAGUAUGGCUUUUAUGAUCACAGGACAUUCCCCACUAAAUACACCCACACUCCUAUUCAAAUAGUCAUCUCUACUACUCAGCUGUCGUUGUCUUUUACCUUUCCUGAGGAAAUGCAGUAGAUAUUUAAUGAAGUGGGAAUGAGAUAUUGGACUUUGAUUCAUCACUGCCAAUGAUGUGCUUGAUGUUGUAUUUCCAUCACAGUAACGAUGAUGCACUGGGGACUCUGAUCAUGAUGUGUAAUUAAUUAAUGUAAAGGUUUUUCAGUUUGCUUUACUUCUUCGUCCAUAAGCUUUUUGAGGCUUAUAGGACUUCAGCAAAAUGAAUACUUUUUUUAUUCUUACUUUUUCAAGAAUUGUCUGUUCAAAAACAUACUGAAAAAUUGUUUGGAGUUUUGGAAUGGCAUCAUAUUUCAUGGCCAUUCUGUAGUACUUGUCAUGGAGUUGUUUGUGAUCACUGCUUGUUUAGCCUGUCACACUGUUGCCGUCGUGAGUAUUGUUUUGUUUGGUUUUCCAGUGGAUACUUUACUUGUUUUUUUUCAUCAAUAAACAUGAGUAUCCACAUUCCCGCUGCGCCUUGGUC
RNAcentral lists this long non-coding RNA (5985 nucleotides) under Salmo salar (Atlantic salmon). RNAcentral's name for it is "lncRNA (ENSSSAG00000063618.2)". The record is from RNAcentral. Lineage: Eukaryota; Metazoa; Chordata; Actinopteri; Salmoniformes; Salmonidae.